AUGUGUUGAAGUACCUCAAAUAAAUAAGAGUAAUCAGAGAACGACAGGAUUUGCAAGAUAAAGUGGGUGCUUACCUGUUUGGUUUGCCAUCUGCUUUACUUUGGACCAAAUACCAGCGUAUUCAGUCCAAAACAACAUCAAAGAAAUUUUGUAAUGCUGCACUGCUUUGGAUGGUGGUAAUAAUGAUGAAAUGAAUUGAGGGCCAUAGCUACCUGAACUGAUGGCUAUAAAGAUACGAUGCUGUAUGUCUUCACCCUUCUGGAUCAGCAAUGUAUUUGCACUGUGCAAUGGGGGAAAAACAGCCAAAGCAGAGUCAGCUUUGGGGCUCUUAAGCCAAAACAUACAACGUAGGCAAUUCCCAGUGCUUGUCCCAGUGGAGUACUGCUAUUUAUGCAACAUGAAGUAUCUUACCAAAAUUGAUGGACCAGGUCUGCCUAAAUGA
Molecule: long non-coding RNA, 442 nt
Filed under: Anser brachyrhynchus (Pink-footed goose)
Lineage: Eukaryota; Metazoa; Chordata; Aves; Anseriformes; Anatidae
Description: lncRNA (ENSABRG00000003960.1)
Source: RNAcentral